Molecule: long non-coding RNA, 570 nt
Filed under: Helianthus annuus (common sunflower)
Lineage: Eukaryota; Viridiplantae; Streptophyta; Magnoliopsida; Asterales; Asteraceae
Source: RNAcentral
UUCAACCAAAAUUAGCUCCAGGUAUAUGUGUGUGUCGCUGUGUGUAGAAGGAACAAGAAGGAGGCAAUUUCCUACAAAUUGUUAGUGAUUAUCAAAGAUUUUGGGCUUCAAAAUCAUCUUCAAUCUAAACAAGAACAAGUGGUAUACUGAAGCGUGCAAAUCAACGGGUCAAGGUUGAAGAUAAGCUAACAAGAACACUACGGGCGAAGAGGUAAGUAAUCUUGUAUCUAAUUAAAAUAAAAGUUCAGUGAAUUAUUAGCAUGUUUAAUAUUUAUAAUUUAUCAAAGAGGAUACAGGUUGUUUUGGCUUGUAUAUUGUAUUUUUGGUACGUGACUUUAAAGAAAGUGAAAACGAGUCGUUUCGACCCGUUACCAAUGAAUCGGAGUAUCAAAAGCUGAAGUUGGCCUUCCAAACGCCAGAUCAGAGUUUCAAACGCCGGUAGAGCUCCGCAGUAAGGAUGCACGUGGUCAAGGUCUCGGUUCGGAUUAAAUUAAGAUGCUUUCUUUUGUAUAAAACCUUAGAUUUAACCAAACUAUUAAGUUAAGAAAUCUUUUGUAUGUGACCAUAUAU